GACGAACGCUGGCGGCGUGCUUAACACAUGCAAGUCGAGCGACGCUCUUCCUUCGGGGAGAUGACGGAGCGGCGAACGGGUGAGUAACACGUGGGCAACCUGCCCCUAGCUCUGGGACAACACCGGGAAACCGGUGCUAAUACCGGAUACGACAUCGAGCGGCAUCUCUCGAUGUGGAAAGUUUUUUCGGCUAGGGAUGGGCCCGCGGCCUAUCAGCUUGUUGGUGGGGUAAUGGCCCACCUAGGCGACGACGGGUAGCCGGCCUGAGAGGGCGACCGGCCACACUGGGACUGAGACACGGCCCAGACUCCUACGGGAGGCAGCAGUGGGGAAGAUUGCGCAAUGGGCGAAAGCCUGACGCAGCGACGCCGCGUGAGGGAUGACGGCCUUCGGGUUGUAAACCUCUUUCAGCAGGGACGAAUUCAGACGGUACCUGCAGAAGAAGCACCGGCCAACUACGUG
Molecule: ribosomal RNA, 462 nt
Filed under: uncultured bacterium
Lineage: Bacteria
Description: partial 16S ribosomal RNA
Rfam family: Bacterial small subunit ribosomal RNA
Source: RNAcentral